CAGAUUGCAGGCUGCAACUCGCCUGCAUGAAGUCGGAAUUGCUAGUAAUCGCAGAUCAGCAUGCUGCGGUGAAUACGUUCCCGGGCCUUGUACACACCGCCCGUCACACCAUGGGAGUCGGUAACACCCGAAGUCGGUAGCCUAACCGUAAGGAGGGCGCCGCCGAAGGUGGGAUUGAUGACUGGGGUGAAGUCGUAACAAGGUACC
RNAcentral lists this ribosomal RNA (207 nucleotides) under uncultured bacterium. Its description in RNAcentral is "partial 16S ribosomal RNA". It matches the Rfam family "Bacterial small subunit ribosomal RNA", at positions 1294 to 1500 of the family's 1533-position model. The record is from RNAcentral.